UCCCUGAUGGCUCAGAGGUUAAAGCGUCUGCCUGGAAUGCAGGAGACCCAGGUUCAAUCCCUGGGUCAGAGAA
This 73-nucleotide transfer RNA is filed under the name Bos taurus (domestic cattle). RNAcentral's name for it is "tRNA-Ser (GGA) (tRNA-Ser-GGA-2-1)". It matches the Rfam family "tRNA". From Rfam's summary of the family: Transfer RNA (tRNA) molecules are approximately 80 nucleotides in length. The record is from RNAcentral. Lineage: Eukaryota; Metazoa; Chordata; Mammalia; Artiodactyla; Bovidae.